This is a long non-coding RNA of Biomphalaria glabrata, 660 nucleotides long. RefSeq lists it as uncharacterized. The transcript is spliced from 4 exons. The record is from RefSeq and is a predicted model, not a curated record. NCBI's taxonomy places the organism in Eukaryota, Metazoa, Mollusca, Gastropoda, Planorbidae.
GCCUACUGGUCAGAGGCCAAGGUUAUGCGUCACUGAUUGAUGCGUGUGUACGUAACCACUCAGUCCACUGUGUUGCUGUGUAGUUUACAUAGACAGAAAGAUUUCUUUUGAAACAAAUAGAAUCUUCAUCUAAAUAUGAUUUAGACUUUUCAAAAUAUUCAUCAUGGAUUAAAACUCUAGAUCUACAAUGGUGAACAAAUGUCUCGUUUUGUAAAGGAUCUAGAUCUAGCACUACUAGUAACUAGCAGAUAUGCUUUCCAAUAACCAAAAGAUGAUGAAUGAUGGCUUAGAAAGAAAAAAUGGCCAGCGGUAAUACCUUUGGCUUAGUAGAAGGAUUAGAUCUACGUACCAUUAAAGGAGUACUCUAAAAUCUGCCAUUAACAUUUUCAAGACGAAGUAUCAUGGACAGUAUUGAAGGAUUACGUACUAUAAAGGAAUACUCUAAAAUCUGCCGUUAACAUUUUGAAGACGAUGAAGUAUUGUGGACUAGCUACUACACAUGAAAGAGUAGAGAGUGCAUUAAAAAAAGUGUUAAGUCUCAGGAAGUCGCAGGAUGGCUAAGUCUAAGUCUAGACCUAAUCUGCCAUUAACAUUUUCAAGACGAAGUAUCAUGGACAGUAUUGAAGGAUUACGUACUAUAAAGGAAUACUCUAAAGUGAG